UACGUAGGGAGCAAGCGUUGUCCGGAAUUACUGGGCGUAAAGGGCGCGUAGGCGGGGUUAUAAGUUAGGUGUGAAAACGUAGGGCUUAACUUUACGAUUGCACUUAAAACUGUAAUUCUUGAGUACAGGAGAGGAAAGUGGAAUUCCUAGUGUAGCGGUGAAAUGCGUAGAUAUUAGGAGGAACACCAGUGGCGAAGGCGACUUUCUGGACUGUAACUGACGCUGAGGCGCGAAAGCGUGGGGAGUGAACGGGAUUAGAUACCCCCGUACGUCCCUGAGCGGGCUGGCAAGG
RNAcentral lists this ribosomal RNA (292 nucleotides) under uncultured prokaryote. RNAcentral describes it as "partial 16S ribosomal RNA". It matches the Rfam family "Bacterial small subunit ribosomal RNA", at positions 524 to 820 of the family's 1533-position model. The record is from RNAcentral.